This 511-nucleotide ribosomal RNA is filed under the name uncultured Pseudomonadota bacterium. Its description in RNAcentral is "bacterial SSU rRNA". It matches the Rfam family "Bacterial small subunit ribosomal RNA", at positions 355 to 883 of the family's 1533-position model. Lineage: Bacteria; Pseudomonadati; Pseudomonadota. The record is from RNAcentral.
UGGGGAAUAUUGGACAAUGGGCGAAAGCCUGAUCCAGCAAUGCCGCGUGAGUGAUGAAGGCCUUAGGGUUGUAAAGCUCUUUUACCCGGGAUGAUAAUGACAGUACCGGGAGAAUAAGCUCCGGCUAACUCCGUGCCAGCAGCCGCGGUAAUACGGAGGGAGCUAGCGUUAUUCGGAAUUACUGGGCGUAAAGCGUACGUAGGCGGUUAUUCAAGUCAGAGGUGAAAGCCCGGGGCUCAACCCCGGAACUGCCUUUGAAACUAGGUAGCUAGAAUCUUGGAGAGGUCAGUGGAAUUCCGAGUGUAGAGGUGAAAUUCGUAGAUAUUCGGAAGAACACCAGUGGCGAAGGCGACUGACUGGACAAGUAUUGACGCUGAGGAGCGAAAGCGUGGGGAGCAAACAGGAUUAGAGACCCUGGUAGUCCACGCCGUAAACGAUGAGAACUAGGCGUUGGGGAGCUUGUCUUCUUAGUGCCGCAGCUAACGCGUUAAGUUCUCCGCCUGGGGAGUAC